Long non-coding RNA from Cottoperca gobio, 145 nucleotides. RefSeq lists it as uncharacterized. The record is from RefSeq and is a predicted model, not a curated record. NCBI's taxonomy places the organism in Eukaryota, Metazoa, Chordata, Actinopteri, Perciformes, Bovichtidae. The transcript is spliced from 3 exons.
GCCCCUGCUGAUGCUUCCGCCGCUCCAGCUGCAGAAGAAGGUGCUCCAGCUGCCGACUCCGAAGCACCUGCUGAUGCUGAAGCUGCUGAAGCGCCGGCACCAGAAGAGCCUAAAGCUCCCACACCUCCACCACCUCCACCCCAAG